GUGGUUCUAAUCAAAACAACGCAUUUUCAAAACUCUUUACAAAUGCCGUUGGGUUAAACAGUGCGAUAUGUUUUUAUCUAAUGUAAAGGUUAUUCCUGCUCCGGUAAAUGUCUGUGUAUCUUUUAUAGUUCGCUUCAUACCGAUUGUUUAAACUGUAACGGUUUAAAUAUAAUUUGUUAACAUUAGUUGGUAGCUGCUACAGGUCGGAAUUGCUUUAUUAUUAAGUUUUGUUUUUCUUAACAGAAUAUUAUUAACGCUCAUAACAGUUACGUUGAUACUUUUACGCCUGUUGAGGCUAAAAGGCUAAACUGCAGCUUGAUGAUUAAUAUUUGUCCACCAUGAAAGGACAUUUGUUGUCCAGUGAACGUGUAAAUUACACACUGCUACAGACAGGAGACCUGUCCAUGAGAUGAGUGACAGGAGCGGAUCAUGUGCAAGGCCACAGUUCUAGCUGUGAUGAAGAUGGAGGGAAAGUUUAAGUCAAAAGGAUUUGGGACAGUUUGAUGUCUACAAAUGUUUUCAUCCUUUUUUUAUUUUUAUUUUUUUUACAUUUUAUUUAUUUAUUUAUUUAAAGGUUUUCUGUUGGACCCCUGGCACAGCACUCCUGUGAAAAAGGUACGCGGGUCUUCUGAAGGUUCAGUAAAGGAAAAAUAGUAGGCUUAUUUGAGGAAUAAAACAUUUUGUGGUGUGAUGUUAUAGGAGAGUAAUCAACAACAACUUUUGAUUGUGUGAAGUGCCGUGGAUUACUUUCCAAUAACAGCACAUGCCGGGUUAUUGUGUUAUUGUUCUUAUGCCGCAGCGAUUUGCCAACGAUUCCAGUUUUUAUCAAAAUUGUUAUACACUACCGGUCAACAGUUUAGACACAGUCAUUCUUUAUUAUUAUUAUUUCUCCACAUUUUAGAAUAAUAAUAAAGUCAUCAAAACUCUGGAGUAACACAAAUGGAACUAUGCGAAUUAUAAAAAAAUCCCAAAUAAAUCAAAAUAAUUUAGUAUUUUAGAAUCUUCAAAGUAAACACGCUUUUUACCUAGAAUUUCCAGAAAUGUAUUCUUGGCAUUUUCUCAACUUAUUUGUUGAGGAAUUUCGCUGAGAUGCUUUUCAAACAGUAUUAAAGGCGUUCACACCUACGCUGGACAUUUAUCGGCUGCUUUCUGGAAUAUUUUGCUCCGAGUUAUCUGUUUAAAAAAAAAAAAUUUUGCUUGUAAAUAAAAUGCUAGCUUUCAAAUGAAAGAAAUGAGUAUGUUGGCACAAUUAUAUUUUGUUGACAGCACUGAUUUCAGAUAUUUAAUCCCCCACCUUCAGAUCGAAAGGUUUUUAAGACCACAAGAAACAUUUCAUUAAAGUGUCUCCAUAAUUUUUGACUGGUAGUGUACUGUCAUAAUUUUUUAUAUUAUAUGGUUACAUUUAAUGUUGUUGAAAGACUCUGAAACAUCGUUUUCUCAGUAAAAUUUACUUGUGUGUUAAAUUUGCCAAAUGUUUCAUGUACCUGCUGAUAUGAUGGAAUGAGUCAGUGGGGCAUGCCACUUAAUAAUAACCCGCCGCAAAAAUACAGCACCUCUUGCGCUUCUUAAUAAGUACUCUGUUUACUUAUUUAUUGCUCGAACCGGACUCUUUCCAUUAGCAAACAUUUUUACCAUGAUUAUCUGUCUCCAUAUAUAUACCUGUCGGUAUAUAUCUUAGUUUUGAAGCUGUGAUCUAAGAAACUCCAAUAUCUCUGCCGUCGCAGAGGUGAAGUUCCUGGAACGUCUUAUAAGUAAUCGCUCCAUGUAAUACUAAUUCUAAAUCAUUGACUCCCUUCCAUAGAAACAGCAAUACACAAUGACUUCAUAAAUUCUAAUUCUAAAUUCUUGAUGAUUCCUACCAGUCAUCGGUCUUUCGCUCUGCACAACAAAGGGCAAACACAGCCUGCGUGUUAACACAGGCUUCAGGGUGAAACUUUUUCACGAGCGUCCUCCGGUUUGCUUGUUGUCCAGAAAAGCUGAAAAGACGCCAAAUUGUCAUGGAAAUUAGACAACACUCGCAGACUCGUCCUCUGAAGGUAAAAAGGUUUAUUACAGAAAGAUGGUUAAUACAGGAUAGAAUAAUGAGAGUUUUCUAAAGCGCUUGUGCUGAACCACUACUAUAUAAUAAAAUAUGAAACGCAGAGCAUGACACACUUCUGUUUACCGAUAAGAAGUGGUUUGAGGCAGUUCAAACAGGCUUUGUCUUAGAGUCUUAGAAGAUGUGCAGAUGAACCUUGUU
This is a long non-coding RNA of Ictalurus punctatus (channel catfish), 2239 nucleotides long. Lineage: Eukaryota; Metazoa; Chordata; Actinopteri; Siluriformes; Ictaluridae. The record is from Ensembl.